ACCAACAGAGACAAGUCAAAGCAUUAACCAAUCGAGAGGAAGCAAAGUCGAGACUUCCGUGUGGCUGUUGCGGAAGGAUUAUCCAACAUUUCUCUGAGACUUGCUUGAAGCCAUUGCAAACUCCCCCGGCCAGAAUCGAUUUCAAAUUGUCCUUUUCAUUAGUCGAAAAUAAAAAAAUGUAUUCUCUCUCUCUCUCUCUCUUCAUGUCUGCCACUCCUUUAUAUAAUUCCUCCUCUAUCUUCAGAAAUCCCAAGCCCAAAGCACCAUUCAUUCACAGCAGCAUAUUGAAGCAAUCAACAAGAAAAGCCCCCAAAAUGGGGAAAUGUAAGUCAUCAUUUCUGGUGUCCCUUCUACUGAUUCACGUCCUAGGUUUGUCACUGCUUCCUCGGCCCACACUAUCAAACGAGCUGAAUGAGUUCUCUCGUCAGCCUCCUCGCCCUGUCAUCUUCACUGCUCACGACCGCUCCAAAUCUCACCCUCAACAGGUGCACAUUUCGCUGGUGGGGCGAAACCACGUGGGGGUUACGUGGAUUACAGAGGACAAGCACGCACCGUCGACGGUGGAGUACGGCAGAGUGUCCGGGGAAUACAGCGAGAAGGCAAGGGGGCAUCACACUUCGUACCAAUAUUUUCUGUACAGUUCCGGUAAGAUCCACCACGUCAAAAUCGGACCUCUUGAGCCCAGCACCACUUACUUCUAUCGUUGCGGAGGGUCUGGCCCUGAAUUUUCCCUCAAGACUCCUCCGGCUGACUUCCCUAUCGAAUUUGUAGUCCUUGGUGACUUGGGUCAAACAGAAUGGACAGCAUCGACUUUAAAACACGCAGAUAGCAGAGACUACGACGUAUUUCUGUUACCGGGAGAUCUGUCGUAUGCGGAUACCCAUCAACCACUGUGGGACUCUUUUGGUCGUUUUGUGGAGCCCUAUGCCAGUCGACGGCCAUGGAUGGUGACGGAGGGCAACCACGAGAUCGAGUCCUUUCCCACCACUUACCCUGAUAGCUUCACGGCCUUCAAUGCUCGUUGGCCCAUGCCUUUCAAGGAAAGUGGCUCCGCCUCUAAUCUGUACUACGCUUUUGAGACUGCCGGUGCUCACAUUCUCAUGCUGGGUUCUUACACCGACUUCCAUGUUGAAUCUGACCAGUACAAGUGGCUUCAAGCUGACUUAGCCCUUGUUGAUCGGAUCAAGACCCCUUGGCUCAUCGCUCUCCUUCACGCACCCUGGUAUAACACUAAUACGGCUCAUCAAGGUGAAGGCGAGAGCAUGAGACAGGCCAUGGAAGACCUUCUUUAUAACGCCCGAGUUGACUUGGUUUUUGCCGGCCAUGUUCAUGCGUACGAACGCUUUACUCGAAUUUAUAACAAGAAGGCUGAUCCGUGCGGUCCCAUGUAUGUGACGAUUGGGGACGGAGGAAACCGGGAGGGACUUGCGUUAACGUUCAAGAGUCCAUCGAGCCCUCUGUCGUUGUAUCGGGAGCCGAGCUUUGGGCAUGGAAGGUUAAGGAUCCUGAACGGGACGCAUGCGCAUUGGUCAUGGCACCGCAACAACGACACUGAUGCGUUUGAAGCUGACAGUGUUUGGAUAAGUAGCUUAAGCAGCUCCAAAGCAUGUCGGAACCCCGCUCGUGAUGAACUCUGAUUAAGUAUUUCUGCUUCUCUUUCCAUCAAACUGAACACGGAAACUAAACUUCCAAUUAAUGAGAAAAUGAUUUAAAAAAAAAAAAAAAGACAUGAGUGACCUUACUAAAUGACCUGAUCAUAUCAUGCUAGCUCCUUGGUUCCUCAUACAUCUACAAAUCCUCCAAUUGAGUAGCUGAUGAAACAGGGCCUUGGGCCCUUGACAGCGAGUUGUGCAUAAAUUUGAAGGUUUACUUUCCUCUGAGCUUGGAUCCAAGUUACAAGUGACACACUCACUCGUCCAUUUAAAAUGAUGACAAGCGCAAACGAGGAAGACGAUAAGGUGACAUCCACACUCAUACUUGAAAAUACAAACACUCCUGAUCCGCACCGAAUUGGCGUUAGACAGAUCAACUCUAAAUGCUUCACAAUUCAACCACCCACUGGCUGGACCCGACAUCUCAAUUCCAAUCAAAACAAGAAAAGGCAAUUUUUCUUUCUCUCACAAAGCAAAGCCAUAAAUUCUCCCUCGACUCUUUCAACCCUCCUAGUUUCUUUAGAAGACGGGAACUUAAAAUCUCGUCUCAAGAAAUUAUUAAUCCUCCUAUCCAGCUUCCAAUGAUCAUGACAGAAGUUCGCUGUGGACGGUGCUGAUCAUUUUGUUCGCAUAUCUUAUCCUAGAUCGCCCUGGCCCCCGACAUCCUACGGUGCGCAUUAAAUCCUUUCGAGUUUCUCAACUUUGAUCAAAGGAUUUGCCAGAGUGAUUUCCUCUCGACCCACCCUCUUGAAAUCGAAGCCACACCCCUGCUUCUCCAAAUUCCUGUGGGUCCCACAAAAAGUGACACCACACUUGCACUUGAAGCCGAUCAACCUGACUCGAUUCCGGCAUGUAGCACAUCGGUUCGGUUGCGCGGCCGCCACUUCUGGCCUGAAGGAUGCAAUGGCUGAGCUCAACACAUCGGCUGAAACUUUCAGCAAUUUCAACGUUGGUGUAGGAGCGGGGGAGACUACGGCCGAUAACGGAGAUGAGCCAGGGGACAGCAGAGAAGCAGUGAAGGAAAGGGUUGUUUUGAUGGUGGAUUUGGUAGACGCUUCCUGUUACUCCUUCAAAUGGAAAUUCCUGUAGCACUUGGAACAAAGAUUCAUAGUGGCCGAGCUGUCAAAAAAGCCACAGUUGUUAGCACAGAAUUGGUGGCCUUCGGGAGCCUGGCAUCGGUGCUCUUCCACCAGAUUGUUCUCUUUUUGCAAAAUGUAUCUAAACUUCUCUAUUCCAUUUUAGCAUUGUAACGAUUUCGAUGAACACCAAGCUGCCUAUGUUUUCAUGUGAGUUUGCUAUCAAUAUUGUCCACCAAGUUCUUGUAA
Prosopis cineraria is the source of this 2977-nucleotide RNA transcript. It is a transcript of the gene named purple acid phosphatase 22-like, with no coding region annotated. The record is from RefSeq and is a predicted model, not a curated record. The transcript is spliced from 6 exons. NCBI's taxonomy places the organism in Eukaryota, Viridiplantae, Streptophyta, Magnoliopsida, Fabales, Fabaceae.